RNAcentral lists this unclassified non-coding RNA (378 nucleotides) under uncultured Parachlamydiaceae bacterium. RNAcentral describes it as "contains 16S-23S intergenic spacer region". The record is from RNAcentral. Lineage: Bacteria; Pseudomonadati; Chlamydiota; Chlamydiia; Parachlamydiales; Parachlamydiaceae.
UCCUGGUUAACCCAGGCAGUCUCACUAGAGUUCCCACCAUUACGUGUUGGCAACUAAUGAUAAGGGUUGCGCUCGUUGCUGGACUUAACCAAACACCUCACGGCACGAGCUGACGACAGCCAUGCAGCACCUGUGCAGCGGCCCCGAAGGGAGAUGUUAUUUCUAACACUGUCCACUGCAUGUCAAACCUGGGUAAGGUUCUUCGCGUUGCAUCGAAUUAAACCACAUGCUCCACUGCUUGUGCGGGUCCCCGUCAAUUCUUUUGAGUUUCACCCUUGCGAGCGUACUCCCCAGGCGGUAUACUUAUCGCGUUAGCUACGGCACAACUGGGGUUGAGUCCAGUUACACCAAGUAUACAUCGUUUAAGGCUAGGACUAC